GUGGCAAAAUGGUUAAGUACUCAGCUACUAACUGAAAGAUUGGUGGUUCAAAUCCACCC
This 59-nucleotide transfer RNA is filed under the name Loxodonta africana (African savanna elephant). It matches the Rfam family "tRNA", at positions 7 to 64 of the family's 71-position model. Rfam says of the family: Transfer RNA (tRNA) molecules are approximately 80 nucleotides in length. Their secondary structure includes four short double-helical elements and three loops (D, anti-codon, and T loops). The record is from Rfam by way of RNAcentral. Lineage: Eukaryota; Metazoa; Chordata; Mammalia; Proboscidea; Elephantidae.